RNAcentral lists this long non-coding RNA (720 nucleotides) under Equus caballus (horse). RNAcentral describes it as "lncRNA (ENSECAG00000056782.1)". Lineage: Eukaryota; Metazoa; Chordata; Mammalia; Perissodactyla; Equidae. The record is from RNAcentral.
UUUCAUCUUCCUUCUUAACUCCCCGGAUUUUGUCUCUGAGCUGAUGCUUCAGGUCACCAUUAAUGCCUCUUGCCUGUGACCAUGUACAGUUGAGCAUAGCUGUCUUCUUUGUUGAGAUGUUGUGCCUGAAUGGAAACCUAGCAGCAUCUACUGUUCUUGCAUGGUCACACUUUUAUUCCUGAGAACUAUAUGGAUACAGACCCUUUGUCUUUGGGCACAGAAUGCUGCUGUGAAAUGUCUGACCUGAAACUGACUACCCUCCUGCAUGCCAGCAUCCUGGAGCACACUAUUUUAAUGGGACACAUCUAGCACAGCAUUUCCCAAACUGGAUUCCUUAAAUCUCUAGUCUCCAGAGACGUUACUCAGUUUGAGCUGGGCACAUGGGCAUAUCCAACACCCGGAUGACAGAGAUGCACAUGAAAGGAACCAGGAUCCUUUUAUGACAUUGAAGGAUCAGCUGCCAGUCCUCGCUGGACUACUGAACUCAGGACUCCUGAGAACCAAAGUCGUUUGUCUUACAUUGGUCAUUGUAUCCUGGUGGUUUAGCAGAGGCUGGUACCUUAAUAAUGCAUCAUCCUUAUCCUAUAAAAAAUUUCUAUAGGAACUGGGUAUAUUUCUGGAAAUUAAUAUUUGUUCCAUUGAUUUAUCUCUUUAUUCAUGGACAUGUGACAUAUUUUUUAACUUGUGAUAGCUUUAUUUUAUGAACAUUUAAAACAUUCA